This 241-nucleotide unclassified non-coding RNA is filed under the name fungal sp. RNAcentral describes it as "partial internal transcribed spacer region". The stretch from base 1 to 46 matches the Rfam family "Eukaryotic small subunit ribosomal RNA", at positions 1786 to 1831 of the family's 1831-position model. The record is from RNAcentral. Lineage: Eukaryota; Fungi.
AAGUCGUAACAAGGUUUCCGUAGGUGAACCUGCGGAAGGAUCAUUACAAAGAGAGGGUUUGGGGGGUGGGGGUUAAAGGGCCUUGCUCGGAAGAGCACGGUUCUCUACCCCACUGUCCGCCCACACUAGCACGGGAGCGUCCUGUCUAGACAGGCGCCUCAUGUUUACGCUUGUUUGUUUGACAGAGUAACAAUCGAUAUACCGCUUUAGACAACUUUUAACAAUGGAUCUCUUGGCUCUU